Molecule: transfer RNA, 77 nt
Filed under: Rhizorhapis suberifaciens (corky root of lettuce)
Lineage: Bacteria; Pseudomonadati; Pseudomonadota; Alphaproteobacteria; Sphingomonadales; Sphingomonadaceae
Also listed under: 78 other names
Description: tRNA-Met
Rfam family: tRNA
About the family: Transfer RNA (tRNA) molecules are approximately 80 nucleotides in length. Their secondary structure includes four short double-helical elements and three loops (D, anti-codon, and T loops).
Source: RNAcentral
GGCGGAGUAGCUCAGCAGGUUAGAGCAGCGGAAUCAUAAUCCGCGUGUCGGGGGUUCGAGUCCCUCCUCCGCUACCA